RNAcentral lists this ribosomal RNA (495 nucleotides) under uncultured bacterium. RNAcentral describes it as "partial 16S ribosomal RNA". It matches the Rfam family "Bacterial small subunit ribosomal RNA", at positions 28 to 507 of the family's 1533-position model. The record is from RNAcentral.
GACGAACGCUGGCGGCGUGCCUAAUACAUGCAAGUAGAACGCUGAAGGAGGAGCUUGCUUCUCUGGAUGAGUUGCGAACGGGUGAGUAACGCGUAGGUAACCUGCCUGGUAGCGGGGGAUAACUAUUGGAAACGAUAGCUAAUACCGCAUAAGAGUAGAUGUUGCAUGACAUUUGCUUAAAAGGUGCAAUUGCAUCACUACCAGAUGGACCUGCGUUGUAUUGGCUAGUUGGUGAGGUAACGGCUCACCAAGGCGACGAUACAUAGCCGACCUGAGAGGGUGAUCGGCCACACUGGGACUGAGACACGGCCCAGACUCCUACGGGAGGCAGCAGUAGGGAAUCUUCGGCAAUGGACGGAAGUCUGACCGAGCAACGCCGCGUGAGUGAAGAAGGUUUUCGGAUCGUAAAGCUCUGUUGUAAGAGAAGAACGAGUGUGAGAGUGGAAAGUUCACACUGUGACGGUAUCUUACCAGAAAGGGACGGCUAACUACGUG